GUUUUAUGUCCUCUGCAGGAUUUCAGGAGCUUUGGAAUAUUUUGCUUCCUUUUCCUAUGAUGUGUUUUAUGAGAUUUUAAUUAUUAUUGUUUAUUAUUAUUGUGUUUUAAUUGUCUGCUUGGGUCCCUCCGUGCUCUUGAGUGAGCAAUUUAUAAAUAUCAUUAUUUUUAUUAUUGCUAUUAUUUGUACAGCUUUCUCAUAUCCUUCACAUCUCCCCUCUGCCCCUUUACUCUUUUACAGGCCUAUAUGUUAUGUUCCUUUAUGUCUCCUCAUAAGUCAGGCCCUCCAAACCCUCUUGUCUUUGUUUCCACUUGAUUUUAAUGCUCUUUUGUUUUUCUUUCAGGGAAGAACUGUAAACCACGUUCCCAACGCUGGAGCUCAGCGCUGGAGAAUUCCCCUUUGGGGUAGCCCUGCAGCAGCAAAGGGACCAACCUUGGGCUGCAGCAGGCAGGCAGAGCCCACAGAGCUGGGCUGGGGAAGGACCACAGCCCGAAAUGGAGCCCCACAAACCCACAUGGAGCCCCUCACCCAGCACAGGCAGAGCAAGGGCGAGUGCCCAGCUGCACCCAUCAGGGAGCCUCUGGCACCACCCAGGGCACUGGGAGCAGCUGAGGCUGUACUGGGGAUUUAAUGAGGGGUGGUUCCCGUGAUAAAGAAGCUCUUGGUGGCUCCUGGUUCCUUUCUCCCAUGGGUUUGUCCCAGCUGCAGUGGGUGAUGAGGUGCUGGGUGCUCCCCAGGAGUGCGUGGAGCUGCCAGGUAGGGGCUGGGGAAGCAGGGGGUGAGUGCUCCUCCUUGCAGAGGGCUCACACAUGCCCAGAGCCACCAAGCUGCCUGGCAACCAAGUCUGGCUGUUUCAAAAAGGGCUGAAGCUUUGCAGGUACAGAAACGUGCUGUGCUCCUCUGCAGGAAACCUGGCGUCAGCAUCUCCCCAAACUGGAUACCCCACUGCAAACAGGCAUCAGGCACAAGGACUAACCUGCGAUAAGCGCCACGCUCCCUCCGCUAUCUUGAGCAGCUGGUAGCGGAUUCAUUUCCCUGCCGAGCACAGGGCUCGUUUCUGGUGGCUCUAAUGAGGAGGAAGGCAAAUCCAGCCUGGCGAGCAAGUGUCUGUUACACCUCUCUCGAAGAAAAGAUUUUUAGAGAUGGAUUAAAUGGGUUUGGGGAAAAUGUCUUCGGGAUUGGAGAUACAAAUGGCUUUUUGAGCAAAACAAAAGCAUUCAUUUUUAAAGCCCAAACUGUUUCAUUAAACAUGUUCAGGCUUUGUUUGUUUAUGUCAGAAGUGAUAGGCUCGUUCGGGCCUGAAAAUUGAAAACUUUUAAGUGUUCUAUCUUGGACUUUCAAUGAAAAAGCAAAUCCUUUUCAAAGGUGGUAUGGAAGAAUAAGAACAAUUAAAAAUUUAUUUCCUGGGAGAAAAAACAUUAUUAGAGCUAUUGAAAAAGGAA
This is a long non-coding RNA of Anas platyrhynchos (mallard), 1442 nucleotides long. RefSeq lists it as uncharacterized. Lineage: Eukaryota; Metazoa; Chordata; Aves; Anseriformes; Anatidae. The record is from RefSeq and is a predicted model, not a curated record.